UUUUCACGUCGGGAAUCGAACCCGUGCCUUCUGGGUGUCUUCCAGAUAUCCAUACACUAGACCACGUGGAA
This is a non-coding RNA of Cordylochernes scorpioides, 71 nucleotides long. NCBI's taxonomy places the organism in Eukaryota, Metazoa, Arthropoda, Arachnida, Pseudoscorpiones, Chernetidae. The record is from the annotation of a GenBank genome assembly.